Molecule: ribosomal RNA, 368 nt
Filed under: uncultured organism
Description: bacterial SSU rRNA
Rfam family: Bacterial small subunit ribosomal RNA
Source: RNAcentral
CGGAGGGUGCAAGCGUUAUCCGGAUUCACUGGGUUUAAAGGGUGCGUAGGCGGGUAUAUAAGUCAGUGGUGAAAGCUCCGGGCUUAACUUGGAAACUGCCAUUGAUACUGUAUAUCUUGAAUGUCGUUGAGGUUAGCGGAAUGUUGCAUGUAGCGGUGAAAUGCUUAGAUAUGUAACAGAACACCAAUUGUGAAGACAGCUAACUAAGCGAUGAUUGACGCUGAGGCACGAAAGCGUGGGGAGCAAACAGGAUUAGAUACCCUGGUAGUCCACGCCCUAAACGAUGAUUACUCGAUGUUGGCGAUACACUGUCAGCGUCUUAGCGAAAGCGUUAAGUAAUCCACCUGGGGAGUACGCUCGCAAGAGUG